Molecule: ribosomal RNA, 253 nt
Filed under: uncultured bacterium
Lineage: Bacteria
Description: partial 16S ribosomal RNA
Rfam family: Bacterial small subunit ribosomal RNA
Source: RNAcentral
UACGAAGGGGGCUAGCGUUGUUCGGAAUUACUGGGCGUGAAGCGUGCGCAGGCGGCUUCUCAAGUCAGGGGUGAAAGCCCAGAGCUCAACUCUGGAACUGCCUUUGAGACUGAGUGGCUUGAGUACGAGAGAGGUGAGUGGAAUUCCCAGUGUAGAGGUGAAAUUCGUAGAUAUUGGGAAGAACACCGGUGGCGAAGGCGGCUCACUGGCUCGUAACUGACGCUCAUGCACGACAGCGUGGGGAUCAAACAGG